Molecule: long non-coding RNA, 246 nt
Organism: Chenopodium quinoa (quinoa)
Lineage: Eukaryota; Viridiplantae; Streptophyta; Magnoliopsida; Caryophyllales; Amaranthaceae
Exons: 3
Source: RefSeq, a predicted model, not a curated record
ACAGCAGCACAUGAAUUUCCAUUUUUACGACUGAUUAUGAGGAGAGAGAUUACGAUAUUCGAUUAUUGAACUGCGAUUUCUUCGUUCGUCUCGCUAUCUUCGUAAUUAAGACGUUCAGUUGCUACUAGUAAGGGUUUUGUGGUUGCUGAUUGAUUGGCCUCUUUGUUUGAAUUGUUUUUCUUGGUGAAUUGAUUGAUAAGUUUUGUUCUGAGGUUCAAGUUAGGAGUUGCAUUUGAAGAUUAUAAA